CUUGGUCAUUUAGAGGAAGUAAAAGUCGUAACAAGGUUUCCGUAGGUGAACCUGCGGAAGGAUCAUUACCUUCACAGUCCGAAAGGACUGCUCGGGGGGGCUCUGCUAUGGUGGUUUACUGCUAUAGCAAGCUCCUGUCUGAACCCUCGUCUUUUGCGCACUCAUGUUUCCUCGGCGAGCUUGCUCGCCGGUUGGACAACCUUAUAACCUUUUUAAUUUUUAAUCAGCGUCUGAAAUAAUUAUAAUAAUUACAACUUUCAACAACGGAUCUCUUGGUUCUGGCAUCGAUGAAGAACGCAGCGAAAUGCGAUAAGUAGUGUGAAUUGCAGAAUUCAGUGAGUCAUCGAAUCUUUGAACGCACAUUGCGCCCCUUGGUAUUCCAUGGGGCAUGCCUGUUCGAGCGUCAUUUGUACCCUCAAGCUCUGCUUGGUGUUGGGUGUUUGUCUUGCCUUUGCGUAUGGACUCGCCUUAAAGCAAUUGGCAGCCAGUGUAUUGGUCUUGGGGCGCAGCACAAUUUGCGCUUUUAGCUAAUAGUCACUAGCGUCCAUAAGCCUUUUUUAUCACUUUUGACCUCGGAUCAGGUAGGGAUACCCGCUGAACUUAAGCAUAUCAAUAAGCGGAGGAAAAGAAACCAACAGGGAUUGCCCUAGUAACGGCGAGUGAAGCGGCAACAGCUCAAAUUUGAAAUCUGGCUCUUUUAGGGUCCGAGUUGUAAUUUGCAGAGGGCGCUUUGGCGUUGGCAGCGGUCCAAGUUCUUUGGAACAGGACGUCACAGAGGGUGAGAAUCCCGUACGUGGUCGCUAGCCUUCGCCGUGUAAAGCCCCUUCGACGAGUCGAGUUGUUUGGGAAU
Molecule: small RNA, 850 nt
Filed under: uncultured fungus
Lineage: Eukaryota; Fungi
Description: eukaryotic LSU rRNA
Rfam family: Eukaryotic large subunit ribosomal RNA (bases 568-850)
Source: RNAcentral